RNAcentral lists this ribosomal RNA (349 nucleotides) under uncultured bacterium. RNAcentral describes it as "partial 16S ribosomal RNA". It matches the Rfam family "Bacterial small subunit ribosomal RNA", at positions 338 to 679 of the family's 1533-position model. The record is from RNAcentral.
CCUACGGGUGGCAGCAGUGGGGAAUAUUGCGCAAUGGGCGAAAGCCUGACGCAGCGACGCCGCGUGAGGGAUGAAGGUCUUCGGAUCGUAAACCUCUGUCAGCAGGGAAGAAAGGUCACUGGGCAAAUCAGCAGUGAAUUGACGGUAACUGCAAAGGAAGCACCGGCUAACUCCGUGCCAGCAGCCGCGGUACUACGGUGGGUGCGAGCGUUGAGCGGAAUUACUGGGCGUAAAGCGCUCGGAGGCGGGAUGGCAAGUCAAGGGGGAAAUCCCCGCGCUCAACGUGGGAACUGCCCUUGAAACUGGCAAACUGGAGUGUGUGAGAGGAUGGUGGAAUUCCUAGUGUAGG